Molecule: long non-coding RNA, 1862 nt
Organism: Solanum lycopersicum (tomato)
Lineage: Eukaryota; Viridiplantae; Streptophyta; Magnoliopsida; Solanales; Solanaceae
Source: RefSeq, a predicted model, not a curated record
AUGUAAAAGAAAAGCUAAAAAAAAGCUUACUAGAGAAGACAAAAAAUAAAAUAAAACAGGGGACUGAAAUAGAAAUGUUUCCAUCUACCAAGAGCUUCGCGGAAAUCGUGGAGAAGUCUCUAAGCUUUUACCAGACGCUGCAGAAUCAAUGUCAAAGACGAAGUUGAACUCAAUCAAACCUUCUAUGCAACAAAUAAAUGACUCAAAUGUAUCUCUAACUCCUUUCACAAAUCAAUCAAUGCCUGCUUUCUGUCUCUAGUACUCUUCUUCAAAGUGUUUUCUGAUUUGGUAAAGGAGGAAACUUGGCUAAGGGUGAUUGGGAUGAAGAGGCUUGAUCAACUUUUUGAAUUGGUUGACCGGCGGCCAAAUUGGCCAUGGGGAGAAUACAUGAUCAGAGGCAAACUCAUGAUUUGAAGACUUUGGAUGCACCAAUAUAAACAUAUCUUAAACAUGAGUUCUAAGUUAAACAUAAAAUAAAAACAAUAAAGAAAGGUUUUAGUUAAAUUUGAACGCUAGCUAGUCCCCUAGUCCCAAGGAUAGUAUCUCUAGCUUCUACCAAUAGCACAAGGGCACUUCUAUGCUUUCUAUGGUUGCAAUGUUAACUAUGCCCUAAUUUUUAUAGUUUUCAAAAUAAAUAUACACGUACAUAUGAUUUUUUUUGAAAGUUAGCGAGCGCACGUGCACCCCUCCAUAUAUAGUGUGGGUCUACCUCUGUGCAUGAUAGACAAAUAAAUAUUGAUAUCGAUACAUUACAUUAUAGUUUAUAUAAUGUCGAUACACGAUCAUACAUCAUUUAUACAACUUUGAUACAUUAUGUAACUAUUUAUACAAUAUCGACAUAUUACAUCAACACUACAUAAUAUACAUGUUUGUAUUCCAUUACAAUAUCGAUACACAUUUAUACACUAUUUAUACAAUACAAUACAUUGCAUAUAUACUACAUAACCAGUGACAAAUCCAGAAUUUUUGCUUAGGGGGUUCAAAAAAUAAAAGUAUAAACGUGUAAAUAAGUCUUUAGAAAUGAGAACCUUGAAUUCUUUUGAGUUUAAAAUCACAUUUUUAGCUUGUUUUUUAAAGUUAAGAACUUGAAAACAGAACUGAAAAUUAAAAAAUUGAAAAAAAAACUGAAACUAAAAAAGAAAAAGAUAAAAUGCUUUCACAGGGAUUCAAACCAUUGAUGUACAACCUAAUUUCAAGAGGAAUUUUCACCGCGCCAUUAGUUUCUCUUAUUUAUUGAGGAGGUUCAAAAUCUAUAUUUACAAAAAUACAAAAAAUCUAUCGAGGGGUCUCGGUGAACCCCCUGAAACCCAUGUGGCUCUGCCCAUGUACAUAACUACUUAUAAAAUAUUGGUACAUUACAUAUACCCUACAUAAUUAUUUUGUCCAUCAUAUAUACUUGUUUUACCUCAUUUUUACAAGGAAUAAUUAGAGAAAUCCAACUUUUAGUUAUUUAUUACCAUUAUCCUCUAUAAGUUUAUAAAUCUCCAAAAUUUCUCAUUUUUCUCUCAAGUCAAAAAUGUCAUUAAUAUAGCCAACGCUCUAUUAACGUAUCUGACCCUCUUUUUAAUGUAUCAGCGCAUGUAUCCAAUCCUCUCUUUAAUGUAUCAACGCUUUGAUUUUUUGGCCAUUAAUGUAUUCAGACCCUCCAUUAAUGUAUCCGGACCUCUUUUUAAUGUAUCAUCGCAUCUAUCUAACCCUCUUUUUAAUGUAUCAGUGCUUUAAUUUUUUGGCCAUUAAUGUAUCCGACUCUCUUUUUAAUUUAUCAGCGUUUAUAUUAUUAGAUUCGUUUAAGGGAAUUAUGUAAUUAUAAACUUUUAAGGGAUAAAUUGUAACUUUGUCUUAAAAGUAUGUGAUUUCUGUAA